RNAcentral lists this long non-coding RNA (367 nucleotides) under Salvator merianae (Argentine black and white tegu). RNAcentral's name for it is "lncRNA (ENSSMRG00000007867.1)". The record is from RNAcentral. Lineage: Eukaryota; Metazoa; Chordata; Lepidosauria; Squamata; Teiidae.
AUGGCGGAGUCUUUCUUCAUCCAGACGCCCGGAGCUUUUUUACUUUCUGCCGAAAAGGACCUGGCCCACGAAAGGUGCAGCAGCGCCUCUGGGAGAGAAGAGGGAUGGCUAAACUGGGACGGCCCCCGAGACGCCAGAAGGCAAACACCUGCGACUCAACUUCAAAGCACAGGCUGGAAGCCUGGAAACGGCNUCCCCGCGCGAGGGCUCUGGUCUAGCGGCCGUUCGGAGCGCCAGAAAGUGUGUUGCUGGAACGGCAUUCAAAGAUACUGGAAGGAUACAAGAUUUCAGGGCCGUGUCAGGGUUCCUGCUUCACAGCGCUGACAGCUGCCCACGUCUGAAAGGCGACGAGAUGCAUUUUUAGCAU